UCACUACCUUGGAAGCAAUCCAGUCCCUCCUUGCAGAUCUUCAUCCCCUGAUGUAGGACCAGUUCCUCUUUUGUUCCUUCAGCCCUAGGGCUUCGUGUGUGGAGGAACUGUGGUCAGCCAACUUCCUGUUCCUGCCCCCAUGCUUCCCCUGCCUGUUGCUGUGCCUGCUCUAUCAUGAUGAACUCUAUCUCUCUGGAAUGGCCUCUAACCCUAGGGUCUACAAGGCUGAGCCAAAACAAUUCCAUUUCAAGAUGACCCUGGCUACAGAACAAGUUCAAAGAAAACUCCAUCCUAAAAAGUAAAAAGAGGAUUAAGAAUAGCUUGGACCAUAGAGCCUGCCUAGCACAUGCAAGGUCCAAUUCCUAAGACCUCACCAAGCAAAACAAAACAAAUCGGUGGUUGAUUCUUUACCAUGGGAAGAACCCCUAAAUGGGUUAUUAGAAAACAAAACAAAAAUGUAUGCCUUUUGCCCUAGGAACCUAUGUAGGCAGCACACUUGGAAAGAUUCUUGUUUUACCUGCUUUCAUUUGUACAAAAGCCCUCACGGUUCUGCUUGCUCACCUUUGGCCUGUCACCCUCUGAGCAAGGGUGACUUCAUGCUCUUUUGACCUUCAGUGAGGAACUAAGAUUGUAUUCAGGUUCAUACCCAGGUAU
RNAcentral lists this long non-coding RNA (654 nucleotides) under Mus musculus (house mouse). RNAcentral describes it as "predicted gene, 38572". Lineage: Eukaryota; Metazoa; Chordata; Mammalia; Rodentia; Muridae. The record is from RNAcentral.